CAGUCGCCACGGUAAAACCGGCAGCACGAGUGAUGACCGCUAUUAUUGGGCCUAAAGCGUCCGUAGCUGGCCACGCAAGUCCGUCGGGAAAUCCGCGCGCUUAACGCGCGGGCGUCCGGUGGAAACUGUGUGGCUUGGGACCAGAAGAUCCAGAGGGUACGUCCGGGGUAGGAGUGAAAUCCCGUAAUCCUGGACGGACCACCGGUGGCGAAAGCGCUCUGGAAAGACGGAUCCGACGGUGAGGGACGAAAGCUCGGGUCACGAACCGGAUUAGAUACCCCCGUAGUCCCUGUCUCUUAUU
RNAcentral lists this ribosomal RNA (301 nucleotides) under uncultured bacterium. RNAcentral's name for it is "partial 16S ribosomal RNA". It matches the Rfam family "Archaeal small subunit ribosomal RNA", at positions 459 to 759 of the family's 1478-position model. The record is from RNAcentral.